This 74-nucleotide transfer RNA is filed under the name Crassvirales sp. Its description in RNAcentral is "tRNA-Leu". It matches the Rfam family "tRNA". Rfam says of the family: Transfer RNA (tRNA) molecules are approximately 80 nucleotides in length. Their secondary structure includes four short double-helical elements and three loops (D, anti-codon, and T loops). Further hydrogen bonds mediate the characteristic L-shaped molecular structure. tRNAs have two regions of fundamental functional importance: the anti-codon, which is responsible for specific mRNA codon recognition, and the 3' end, to which the tRNAs corresponding amino acid is attached (by aminoacyl-tRNA synthetases). tRNAs cope with the degeneracy of the genetic code in two manners: having more than one tRNA (with a specific anti-codon) for a particular amino acid; and 'wobble' base-pairing, i.e. permitting non-standard base-pairing at the 3rd anti-codon position. The record is from RNAcentral. Lineage: Duplodnaviria; Heunggongvirae; Uroviricota; Caudoviricetes; Crassvirales.
GGAUGCGUAGCCCAACUGGCAGAGGCAAUAGAUUUAGGAUCUAUGUAGUGAGGGUUCGAAUCCCUCUGUGUCCA